RNAcentral lists this long non-coding RNA (1343 nucleotides) under Homo sapiens (human). RNAcentral's name for it is "HSALNT0223856". The stretch from base 468 to 585 matches the Rfam family "Small nucleolar RNA SNORA25". Lineage: Eukaryota; Metazoa; Chordata; Mammalia; Primates; Hominidae. The record is from RNAcentral.
CAAAAGCCAACAGAUGCAGACACUGGGAAGCUGAGGAGGAGCAAAGUGAUAUGGGGAAAUAAACAGGGCCACAGCUCAGCGGGAGGAGAGUGGAGCUGUUCAGCAGGUCUCAAGACGCCGGCAAAAUCACGGCUACUGUAGACAAAGGUCACCCCAAGGUUAUAAACCCGUAAGUCCACGUGCAACAAGAGCUGCAGGGUCAUGGAGGCCUGGGUGGAAACUGGCCGAAGACACGGCAGAUGAGCAGAGCAGACAAGGAGAGGAGAUGGAAUGGAGGCAGAUCUCAGAAAACGCUGGCAGCUACACUCCUGAAGAAACCUCCGGAAAAUUGCUAAGCCGAGAACAUUGUGUUUUAGCAUACAAAGACUAAAGGAAUAUUGUUCCCACAAGCCCUGCUUGAGGAAAUCACCAGGGAACAAAUGUAGUCAACCAAAAGAUGAUUGAGAAAACAACAGCAAAAGAGCUGACGGUCAUUUCAAAGAGGCUGCAAAACCAAGAGCUCUUAACGCUGUGAGCAAAGAUGGAAGUUCUCUCUAGGAUGCCAUGGCACUCGAUGGUGGUAUGUUUUCCUGGGGAGAUAUAAGACAUAGGUGUUAUAUGACAUAGUAAUCUAUGAUUGUUGCCAUGGGAGAGUUUUAAAGAUUAACCAAAGUAAAAAGAAAAAACAAAUUGUAAACUUUGCACUGUUCUGAGCAGCAUGAUAAAAUCUCAUGCCACCCCACCUGGGAUGUGAAACAGCCCUUCGUGCAGCAUAGCCACCAGGUAUACACUAGGUUGCCCGUUACCCAUUAAGUAGCUGUCUUGGUUACCAGAUCAACUGUCCUGGUAUCUCAGGGCUUGCGUGCAAGUAACCAUUAUUUUACUUAAUAAAUGGCCCCAAAGCACAAGAGUAGUGAUACUGGCAUAUUACUAUAGUUGUUCUAUUUUAUGAUUAUUGUUGUUAAUCUCUUACGGUGCCUAAUUUAUAAACUAAACUUCAUAAUAGGUGUGUAUGUAUAGGACAAAACACAAUAUAUAUAGGGUUUGGUACUAUCUGCAGUGUCAGGCAUCCGCUGGGGAUCUGGGAAAGUAUCUUCUGUGGAUAAGGGGGACUGCUGUACUCUCUUGGCCAGGGUUACAGGCAUCGCACAGCCUCUACAGACGGCAAUUUGGCAUUAUCUAUUAAAACUAAAAAUAUUUAUACUCUUUAACCCAAAAAUUCCAUUCCUAGGAAUUAAUCGUACAGGUAUACUUUCAUGUGCAGAUGGACUUAUAUACAAGGAUAUAUACUGCAGCACUGUUUAAAUUGCAAUAGACUAGAAAUCACCUAAAUUCCAACAAUACAGGAUUGAUCCAAUGAAUUA